UAAAACUUUCAACAACGGAUCUCUUGGUUCUGGCAUCGAUGAAGAACGCAGCGAAAUGCGAUAAGUAAUGUGAAUUGCAGAAUUCAGUGAAUCAUCGAAUCUUUGAACGCACAUUGCGCCCCUUGGUAUUCCGAGGGGCAUGCCUGUUCGAGCGUCAU
This 158-nucleotide ribosomal RNA is filed under the name Neofusicoccum parvum. Its description in RNAcentral is "5.8S ribosomal RNA". It matches the Rfam family "5.8S ribosomal RNA". Rfam says of the family: 5.8S ribosomal RNA (5.8S rRNA) is a component of the large subunit of the eukaryotic ribosome. The record is from RNAcentral. RNAcentral also lists the same sequence under 1 other name. Lineage: Eukaryota; Fungi; Ascomycota; Dothideomycetes; Botryosphaeriales; Botryosphaeriaceae.